Non-coding RNA from Pelobates cultripes (western spadefoot toad), 914 nucleotides. The record is from the annotation of a GenBank genome assembly. Lineage: Eukaryota; Metazoa; Chordata; Amphibia; Anura; Pelobatidae.
CGCGUAGGGCCUGUUUUAUGUACAGAGUUUUUAUUUGUAUAUUUUUUAAGUUUAUUUUAUAAUAGUAAAACUAAAUGUGUAAAAUGCAUACAUUUGUGAUGGAACAAUCUUCUUUUUAUUUAUUUUUGCAUUCUUACACUUCAACACAUGUCGAGCACUCAAUAUGAAUGCAGACACUUCAAACGAGAAGGUGGAGUUUAUAGCAUUCAUUGAUAUAAUAUGCUAAUUUUCCCCAGAUUUCUAGGAUUUAAUAUUCUAGAAUUGGCACCAGUGUAUUUUCUGUAGUGGUUUGAGGGCUUACUUGAAUUCUCUCUACCCAUGCAACUGUGAUAUGCUGUGGCCUAGCAGAGGUUCAAUAAAUUGCUAUGUCUGGGGGAAAUAAAAAAAAAUCAAUCGCACAUGGUCGCUCUAAUCACUUGAACUUUUUUUAAUGGCCAUGAAUGUGAGGCACUGCUUAUAUUCAUGUAUUUGUCAUGGAAGACUUGGAUAUGUAUUUUGGCCUUGUUUUAGUGUAACUCAUGUUUAUCCAAGGCAGUGAUUUCUACCUAUUCUAAUCUUGUGAUAGGAGUACAAAAAUAUGUAAUGUGUGUUCUUUGUACAAUCUUCCACUGUAAAUCGAAUAAUAAUACACUAUACUUGUAUGGAGGUCUUGGACAUCUACUUGUUUUUAAUGGUCCACAUAAUGUUAACCCCUUAAAGGGACACCGUAUGCACUGUAUCUGCUUCAUCUCAUUAAACUGGUUAUAGUGUCUGGAGUCCCCUGGUGCCAUCAUUUCUUUCAGCAUUAAACAGUUUUUAAUGUUGUAAUGUUUUAAUGCUAAACAAGAGACCACGGCAGUCCAUCCCCUCUGUGCUGCUUUGACUAAUAAGGAAGUAUUACCCUGAGCAGCAAUGGGCAGCUGUGAUUGGCUGAG